AGCACCUGCGGCAUAUGGAAGUUUCCAGGCUAGGGGUCAAAUUGGAGCUGUAACUGUCGGCCUUUACCACAGCCACGGCAACGUGGGGUCUGGGCUGCAUCUACAACCUACACCACAGCUCACAUCAACGCUGGCCCCUUAACCCGCUGCGAGGCCAGGGAUAGAACCUGCAUCCUCACGGAUACUCGUGGGGCUCGUUUCUGCUAAGCCACAGUGGGAACGCCUCUUAUGCGUGACUUUUGGCCAAAGGGACCGGCUCUACCAAAAACAGGGACUGAAGCAUACCCAGGUGACUAUCUGGCUCACCUGAUUCUCUUCCCAGUGGGGCUUUGAAACAUGGGGACAAACUUUAGACACAGAGAAUGGAGCCAUUGCCUCUGUCGGGAUGGGAGAAAUUCACAGAUGUCUUGACAGCAGCUACCUCGCGACACUGAGUGGUAGCGGACCACUGGAAAAACUCUGGGUAAGAAAGACUAUCAAAGGAGCAUCAGGUCCAGAUUGCAAAUUGCUUUAGCAGCUAAAACAGGCAGAAAGAUAGAGCAACUCACGCUAAUCCAGGGGGUUUAUGCUUCGGGCUGGCUGCCUCUGACGCCCACCCUUGACCCAGCCCAUUCAUCAGUAUUUUGAUAAGCAGAUUCCCCUGCAGAGCUUCUUAAUCUGGGUUCCCAGAGGAGUCUUGCAGAGAUUAAUGAGAGCCCUGCCGCUGCCUGCCAGCUCUUGAGGGUGGGGCAGUUAAAUCACAAAAGGGAAGGGACUGGUCGCGGAUGCCCAAACUCUCCCAUCACUGGACCUGACGCCUCUAGGGGUCAACUCAGUAUCUUUUCAACUUAAAUACCUGGAUCUGUUUUUAUUUUUAUUUUUAAUCCACUUUCUCCUUGGUAUCUAGGGAAAUUAAAGCCCUGGCUCACAUCUUCCUUAAGGCCAGCUUUUAGCCAGAGCCAUGACAGCAUCUGGAGCUCAACAAAGAUUAGGGGCAGAGGCAGGCAGGAAUGCCAGGGACAGAGAGGAAAUCCAGUGCUACCAAGGGCACCACCAAUGUGCUGUACCCGCCAUGCAGCCCUCCCACCAAAUACCCUCUGGCUACAGUCCCCUGACAGUGGUGGGAGGGGAAGCUGGGGCUGCAACCCCAAAGCCUGAGCCCUCACAGAAGUGCAGCCCCUAAGACAAAAAAAAAAAAAAAAAGGGAGUUCCCAUCGUGGUGCAGUGGUUAACGAAUCCGACUAGGAACCGUGAGGUUGCGGGUUUGGUCCUUGCCCUUGCUCAGUGGGUUAACGAUCCGGCGUUGCCAUGAGCUGUGGUGUAGGUUGCAGACGCGGCUCAGAUCCCGCGCUGCUGUGGCUCUGGCGUAGGCCGGUGGCUACAGCUCCGAUUCCACCCCUAGCCUGGGAACUUCCAUAUGCCACGGGAGUGGCCCAAGAAAUAGCAAAAAAAGACAAAAAAAAAAAAAGAAGGCUGGUCUCUGCUCUUGCAAUGCCAGAUCCUCAACCCACAGUGCCAAGCCAGGGGUGGAACCCGCAUCUCAGCAUUCCCAAGAGGCUGCCGAUCCCACUGCACCACAGCGGGAACUCUGCAGGCUGGGUUCCCUGUGAGACGUGAUCUGGGGAAAUUUUCUGGGCUGUCCUCUGGAGAGAUGGGACUUAUUUUGAAGUAAGAUGUGAUGAGGGAACCCUAGAUUUGAGUUCAGUUUGUGAAUUAUUGGGGCGGGGGGGGGGGUAAAAUCAGGCUUACCGAGCUUGUAGGACCUUGCAUGUGCUGGAAGAAAAAGUCUUACAAAUUCCAAGUGACAGGUAUGGCAAGAAGGAGGAGGACGAGCCGGGACAGCAGCUUCAACUCUGGCUGCUCCCGUGCUGACAUGUGUCCACUGAACGCAGCCUCAGGACUUGGGGGAAAAAGACCGUCACGCGGAGCUCCGAGCUCACGAGCAGGUCUAAAGGGACCGGCAAGUCAACUAACAAAGGCGUCGGGGGUGGGAACCCCCCUGGGUCUUCCCUCGCCCCUCCUGUGACCACGGCUGGCAUCUCAGGCCCGCUGUCCGUGAACAGACAGGGAAAUAGCUAACUACCCAGCUGAGUCCACGUUCAGCCCCAGAGGAAGGUCGACGGCUGACUGUCUAGGAGUCUGCGGUCUCACUGACACCAGCAGCUCUCAGAGUGUGGAGCACAGCUGCCCUCCGUCUAUGGCUGUGGACUGGGGGGGGGGACAAACAUGUGCUGGGAGGGGGGCCGUCCCAGCCCCUCCGGCCAGGCUCCUCAGAGGCUGGCGCAUCACCCAGCCCCCAGGUGGGGGCAUCAUGGAGGAGACCACGGCUGCCCCUGCAUCAGCUGUCCUGGUUCAGCAGACCUUCCUUCUUUAGCCAGACCUGGAAGCCAAAGAGGUCAGGCCAACCUGCAGCUCGGGGUCCAGCCCAGACGGGCGGCUACCUGGCCAGCCUCCUGGCCUCUGUAUGCGGCGCAGCCUGCUCUGGAUGGUAGGCUCCCUGCCCAGGAUUUGCAGUGAACUUGGCUGCUCCCUGCGGGAUUUACUGGGUCUGGACCUGCCCGCGGUAGAAGGUCAAGUGUCAGUUCAACGAGGGAGCCCCUGUCCCCCUUCGUCUU
This 2594-nucleotide long non-coding RNA is filed under the name Sus scrofa (pig). Its description in RNAcentral is "lncRNA (ENSSSCG00065010697.1)". The record is from RNAcentral. Lineage: Eukaryota; Metazoa; Chordata; Mammalia; Artiodactyla; Suidae.